UACAGAGGUCUCAAGCGUUGUUCGGAUUCAUUGGCGUAAAGGGUGUGUAGGUGGCGCGCUAAGUCGGGUGUGAAAUUUCGGAGCUUAACUCCGAAACUGCAUUCGAUACUGGCGUGCUUGAGGACUGGAGAGGAGACUGGAAUUUACGGUGUAGCAGUGAAAUUCGUAGAUAUUCGGAAGAACACCAGUGGCGAAGGGCGGCU
Molecule: ribosomal RNA, 203 nt
Filed under: uncultured bacterium
Lineage: Bacteria
Description: partial 16S ribosomal RNA
Rfam family: Bacterial small subunit ribosomal RNA
Source: RNAcentral